UACAUAUUGUACUGAGCUACAUCUAGGUGU
RNAcentral lists this non-coding RNA (30 nucleotides) under Rattus norvegicus (Norway rat). The record is from RNAcentral. Lineage: Eukaryota; Metazoa; Chordata; Mammalia; Rodentia; Muridae.